Molecule: ribosomal RNA, 369 nt
Filed under: uncultured Akkermansia sp.
Lineage: Bacteria; Pseudomonadati; Verrucomicrobiota; Verrucomicrobiia; Verrucomicrobiales; Akkermansiaceae
Description: bacterial SSU rRNA
Rfam family: Bacterial small subunit ribosomal RNA
Source: RNAcentral
UCGAGAAUCAUUCACAAUGGGGGAAACCCUGAUGGUGCGACGCCGCGUGGGGGAAUGAAGGUCUUCGGAUUGUAAACCCCUGUCAUGUGGGAGCAAAUUAAAAAGAUAGUACCACAAGAGGAAGAGACGGCUAACUCUGUGCCAGCAGCCGCGGUAAUACAGAGGUCUCAAGCGUUGUUCGGAAUCACUGGGCGUAAAGCGUGCGUAGGCUGUUUCGUAAGUCGUGUGUGAAAGGCGCGGGCUCAACCCGCGGACGGCACAUGAUACUGCGAGACUAGAGUAAUGGAGGGGGAACCGGAAUUCUCGGUGUAGCNAGUGAAAUGCGUAGAUAUCGAGAGGAACNCUCGUGGCGAAGGCGGGUUCCUGGAC